UCCCUGGAGGACUAGAGGUUAGGCAUCUGUGCUCUCACUACCCUGGCCCAGGUUUGAUUCCUGGCCAGUGAA
Molecule: non-coding RNA, 72 nt
Organism: Pangasianodon gigas (Mekong giant catfish)
Lineage: Eukaryota; Metazoa; Chordata; Actinopteri; Siluriformes; Pangasiidae
Source: the annotation of a GenBank genome assembly